Rosa rugosa (rugosa rose) is the source of this 1843-nucleotide long non-coding RNA. RefSeq lists it as uncharacterized. The transcript has 14 exons. Lineage: Eukaryota; Viridiplantae; Streptophyta; Magnoliopsida; Rosales; Rosaceae. The record is from RefSeq and is a predicted model, not a curated record.
UGCAAAAAACUUGCCGUCACGUUAUCCUAAUUAACUCUGCUCCACCCUCUUUCGUCUUUCAGUUCUUUGAGCCCAUAACUCCAUCUCGAUCUGAUACCCCGAUGAUUACCCAGAUAUCCUCCUCGUCUCCUCCUCUUUCCAUCACCUCCUUGAGCUAUUUUCCUCUCUCGAUCUACCAAAUUCUGCAGAAUACAACCGACGACUAAAUGAACCGAUUUAGGUCAACUCCAUCGAGUUUAUCAGGAGAUCUACCAACCAGUCGUUCCUCUCAAUGUCAAAAGCCUAAUCUAAUACAUUUCACCUCACCCACCUGCAGCCCCAAUCGGCUGCAACGUUCCCGAGUUCACCUAUCUCUUCAAGAGGAAGGUUGAAAAAGGGAUUGAAAUCGAUAAGCUUCCAAAGUUUGAAGCUUUCAUUUUGGUUAGAUUUUAGAGCGAGCUCACGACUCGAUCUUCAAUCAUCCUUUCAUUUGUUGGACCUCCAUGGAUAGCUUCACUCUGUUCUUAUUCUUUUGACCCAGCCAAAUUGCAGCGUUAUUGAUAGAGCAUUCACAAUCUGCAUAAAUAGUUGGAAGAUUUAGCUAUUUCUCAUUUCUUUUGUGUGCUGGAUUUGAAUAGGUUGCACUAUCUUGGGCUUAACAGAGAGUGGCGGUAGUGUGGUUUUUUUGCUGUUGGUUUUCUUGGGUGAACAAACUAUUCUGCAUUUCAAUAUUAGAGAAAAGUUAGAAGCAGAAGAGAGAAUAUAUAAAAGCCAACAGGAUCAUGUACAUAUACCCUUGACCAUGUGCAGGUGGCAGCACUAUCUUGGAUUUUAUGCAAAAGAGUCUACAUAUCAUUUGGCUGCCACUGUUCCUUGGUCUACUGUUUAACGUUGUCUGCAUCUUUCAUUCUUAUUCAGCUUCUGGGCACAGUUUCUACUGCCUAUGCUUUCUGUUUUCAAAAAAGGCUCAGGGAGAUUUUCCUUAAGCAGGAUAAUCUUAUCUAAGGUCGUUUCCUUGCUGAGCUGACAAAGCAAGUGUUUUCUGAUCUUUCUGCCAGUAAAUAUCAGAUGGCUGAGCACAGAAUAUCAAAAUAUGGCAGGAAGCAAAGUGAGUGGGACCAAAUGGCUAGUUGGAUAGUGAACAAUGAAUUGUACAGUGAGAAUGUUGUAUGGUUGAUACAGCUGCCACGGCUGUACAAUAUAUACCAGGAAAUGGGGAUAGUCACAUCAUUUCAGAACAUUCUUGACAAUAUCUUUAUACCGCUGUUUGAGGUUAACAUAAAUCCAGAUUCCCACCCGCUGUUGCAGGUUUUUCUGAAACAGAUGCGGUUCAUGAUGUGUCUCAGCAUAUGGAAGAGCUUUUUGGUCUCUAAUGCCUCCUGAUCAAGGUAGAAUAUAUGCCCCAGUUGAGCUUUCGUCUUCUUUGUCAUUUAGGUUCUUUGUAUUAUAAUCUCUGUGUUCGAUCUGUGGCAUUUGUCUUCCUCUUACCAUAAGCUCUAUCUACUAUGUUUUGAUUCCAGGUUCAAGAUGCAUCCAGUGGCCAUGAAAUUAGAAGGGAGUCCAUAGGAGGAGUUCAUCCAGAUUCAACUAGUGAUCAAGAAUUUGAGCACGCUCCAGUACUCACCAAGCCCUCUAGUUAAUGAUAAAUAGUAUUGUGGUCAAGUCUGCUUUUGAACAAUAUUAAGUUUGGGAAUGUUUCUUCCAGAGUUUCAGUUAUCUAGUAUGGUAGAUUCUUAGUAGAUUCGUAUAAUUAUGAAAGACUGGUUUGUUUGGUUAAUUUCAAUUUAUACUUGGUAAUGAAAUAUAACUUGGCACUUAUCAGUUGUGAGAUAGCUAUGAAUGAAAGGAUUAUUUUGGUGCUUUA